This is a long non-coding RNA of Piliocolobus tephrosceles (Ugandan red Colobus), 3425 nucleotides long. RefSeq lists it as uncharacterized. Lineage: Eukaryota; Metazoa; Chordata; Mammalia; Primates; Cercopithecidae. The record is from RefSeq and is a predicted model, not a curated record. The transcript has 2 exons.
AGCCCGGAACGCUAGGCCUUUUCUGGGCCGCCCCCGCCGCUCCAAGCAGAGACGCCAUCCCUUUCCCCCACCCUGCCCGGUUCCUGAAGCCCUGCGGCGGCUCCGGGCGAGGACUAAGGGCGGCCCCUGCAGCAUACCUGCUCCGCCGGCUCCGCGAGGCCAACGAAGCGUCCCAGAACGAUCCGGGUUCCCGGGGCCGCUGCGCCUCCCCGCGGCUGGGCGGAGCCGCGCAAGGAAACGCGGGCGGGGCGCGAGGCUGGAAUGGCCUGGGGACCCGUCCACACAGUCCACCGCGAGGCAAGGUCAGGCGCCAGGGAGUUUGGAGACCCGACAGAGCCACCCCCACACCGUCCUGUUGCCUUGGGUCGGGAUUGCUUUGCGUUGCACUCUACAGUAGCGCUCCCCGCUCUUGCUUACGGUGCACCAGACGCUUCGCAAACGUUUUCUCUUUUCUUUACAACCCCGCAAGGCAGUAGUCUCCUAGUUUUACAAAUAAGCUAAACUCAGAUAGGUAGAGUGUUUCUUGUACAAGGUCUCAAAUAUCUCCAAGAGGUGGACGUGAGAGACUGGAACCGCUUCCUACUCUUUGGGUCACAGCGGCGGCCUGCCAAGGGACUUUCUAAGGCAACCCGCGCUGCCCAAGCGUCUGCACGCACGCCCCCUCCCCACCCUACCCUGUCCCAUUCUGGAUUUGCACAUCAAGCAGCUAAAACGUUUAAGUAGUUGAAAAAAUGUAUUUUCCAGCAAUUGUAAAUAGUGACGCAAGUAAAAUAUAUCCAAUUGAAUCUAAACACUACAGUGAUAUGGUACCCUCCAUCGUCCAUCACACACAAGCAAAAGCCCACAAAAAAGCUAUUUUAAAAAUCUUAAGUUUACAUCACUACUUUUCCUUCUUAAAAUCAUCUCUCCGCCAUCCCCUCCCCGUCCCUGCCACAAAAAAUUUCCUCUUCUUAUAAGCACUAUAGUCAAAUUGAACUAGGACUGAACCAAAGGCCUCAUUUUGAUCUCAUUGCAUCUUUAAAGUCUCUAUCUCCGAAUACAGUCUCAUUAUGAGUUACUAGUGUUAGAUUUCAAUAUGUGAAUUGGGAGUGGCCGGGGCAGGGGCGAAUGCAGCCCAUAACAGGAGUCCAAAAGUUGUUUAGGAGUUGGAACAGCCAAUGUUAGUUUUUUUGGCAGUGAAAUUCCCUCAAAAUAUUAGUAAGUAUAUGAUCUACUUGUCUUUGUUUAAUUUCAUGUGUCAGUGACCACACCCACAUUUCUUCCCUAGAAUUCUUAGACAUGCUUUAUUAAAUCAUAUCUUCAUUCUACUUUCCUCAUAGAAUUUUAUCCCAGUUAUCUUUUUCAUGCUUGAAAGUCUUAAUUGAUCAUCCUGCCAUACUGCUGAAAGAAGUAUAGAAAUGGAAAUUUACAUUUCCUGCUCACAGAAUUUUUUUUCUAGAUUGUUAAAAUCACUAGUACUACACAAUUGAUCACAAUAAAAUAUAUCACAAUACUGAUAAUUAUAUUAAAUAUAACAAAAUAAAACUGUAUUGAAAAUUCAUCUCUUUAAGACCUGGAUGGGCUCCCCAUGCGUCAUCAGUUCCUGUAUCCAUAGAUGAAUGCUAACUUCUUGCUACAAUGAAGUUUAACACUGAGUCUCUUCAAUUUUUUUUAAGGCUGUAAGUGCUGAGAAAUAAGUACAUAAGAAUGAAAAGUUUUGUUAAAAGUGUCCCUCAAUUUUUGUCUAGUUGUAUCUCAAGAAUCAUAUAGUAAUCUAUCAUCAAAAAUGGUUUAUAAUCAUGAACUGGUAAUUACAUUACUCUUCUGAAAUUUUAUUAAAAGCAAAACCCCAUAAGCCAUUCUGAUUUUAAAAAGGAUUAUCCAAUACUUAUCCAGUCUCUCAGUAACUGUACAUAAUUUCAAGUUUUUUUGUUUGAUGGUUUGGAAAUGUUUAUACCCUGGGGCAAUGCUAAGAUUGAAGAUGACUAAGAAGUAUGGAAUACAGUAUAUAUGGAAGCUCAGUAUCUGGAAAUAUCCUUAGAAUGAUCCAUGCCUGCUUUAACUUGAAAAAUGUUCAAGAGAGUGGUAAGCUAAUUUCAAAGAGCUCACCUAAAUAACUUUGGGAAAUGGUAUUUGACUGGAAGCCAUGAGACAAUAGGAAAGAUACAUAAACUCUGUACCUUAGUUGGUAAAUUUGUAUCUCCCAGGGGUAUGGGUUAAUGCUUUGGAAACUGCUUUACAAAUAGACUAGGAUUGAACAGCUAAGCGGGUGGUGGAUGGUGCAAGCCAGUUUUCUCAUUGUCAGGGAGAGAAGUUAUAGAAAAGCAUGAGAAGAAGGCUAGAAUGAACCUUGUAGUAUUGGGUUAGUUGGAGACAUCAGUAUGGACCCAUGCUUAAUUUAAUGUAUGUACAGAUGGAGAGAUACAGAAAUAACUGUAGAGAUGUGUGGAUGGUUAUACAAUUAUACAGUGUACAUAGGUUAGUAUAUACACAUAUACUUCCUAGCUCUGCUGAGAGGGCCUAAAAGCAGUGACACCCCAGGAACAACAAGCACACCCAGCAACCAGAUCUUGGUUUCUAAACCAGUGGGAACCUCAUUGAAAUGGAUGAUUUUGGGGCUGGGGCAGAGAAGGUAAAGAUGAGUCUGGAUGAUCUUGUAGUGCCACAAAGGAAGGAAGUGCUCCAAAAGAAUAGGGGCACAUCAAAGGGACAUAGGAGGUGACCUGAAACAAUCCCCAACAGCAAAAGCUAGAACAAUUUAAGCAAGAAAACAAACAACUUAUUAUUGGAUUAUACUCCCACCCCCAGAGGUGGAGAUUAAUUCCUCUGCAUUUGACUACAAGCUGGAGUGUGUGACUUGCUUAUAGUGAACACAGCAUGAACAUGGAAAAUUACAAAGUUGAUAGUGGAGAGCCUGGCAGACACUGCCUUCAUCAAUUGAUCAAGGUGAACGACACUGGGAAGAAGUCAUGCUGAUACUGUGUACUCCCUGAAAUGAUGUGAUGAGAAGGGCACUUCACCUUUGUGGUUUUCCCCAAAAUCCGUAAGCUUAGUUCAAUUGUGCGACAAACCCAAAUUGAGCAAGAGUCUACAAAAUACCUGAGAAGUACUCAAAAACAUCAAGGUCCCAAAAAACAAGGAAAGAUUUAGAGACUGCCUGAGACCACUGGAGAUUAAAGAUAUCCAAAUGACUGCUAUCUUCUGACAAGAUCUGCAGACCACCUCAUGCUUCCCAGGGCUGACCCUCCAACCCAGGCUCUUUUGUGCAUCCUAUGAGGGACUGUAUUUAAGGACAGCUGGUGAAGACCAUUGGAAUGAUCUUCAAACUACUCAGAAUCAGGUCAUAUUGAAAAACUGCACACAUUACUAUAUCAUAAUUAAAUAUAUUUAAUUUUCAAGCCUUUAGGAAGUGUAAAAAGAGUCACAUAAUAAUAAACACAAAUCAU